Molecule: long non-coding RNA, 2014 nt
Filed under: Oryza sativa (Asian cultivated rice)
Lineage: Eukaryota; Viridiplantae; Streptophyta; Magnoliopsida; Poales; Poaceae
Description: long non-coding RNA (OSAT_LNC001576)
Source: RNAcentral
GCCACGCUAGGUGAUGCUCUCGAUCGCCGUCUGCGUCUUUGUCUCUCUCUACUUUCUGAAAUUCGCACUCAUUCCAUCUACGACACUACGACUAUUUCGCAAACCGCAUCUUUACUUUGCAUAAUACAACCUUUUCAAAAGGGAAAUCACAACAUGAUAAUUCCUGAACGUUGGCGCGCAUGAAUAUUCUUUUCUCUUCUUCAAACUAAACCAUGGGUAUUCUUUCAGAUUGCCUUCUUCGUAACGUCCUACUGACAUGCAUGGAUAGCUACGCAUUUCUUGCUUGAUAUACACUAGUCAUCUAAACUUAGCUUGGUAAUCGGUAUACCAGUCUACACAGUACUGUGUACGAGGCACAGUACUGUAGUGCACUGAUAUACUCCAUAAUAUAAGCCCCGCUAAGCUCACGUACGUAGGAUUGGGUCAGUAAACAGUUAGUGUCAACUUCGAAAUAACCGGAAAAGAAUCAACAAGUGGAUCUCAUAAUCUAAUUCGUUGACUAAUAUAGUAUAAGCAGAUAGAAAAAUGAUUACCAGUGGUUGUUGGUGACAUGGUGCGCAUGUGCAGAUCGAUGUGCCAUUGGCUAGAAUACACACAGGUGGAAACAUAGAGUAGUUAUCCCCAAAAGCAAAGCACUUAAAAUCUUCGGCAAUGGUUGUUUGGCUUAAAUGGUGGUAGCAUCACAUCACACAGUGGACGUACUUAAUUUUGCACAUGUCCGUGCUACGUGCUCCAUGCCAUGCUCCACUGCUACAUAAAUACACCGCACUUACACAUCCACAAAUACCUGCUCUAUUUUUUUAGGCUGUGUGUUUAGUUCAGCGCAAAGUUUGGAUUUUAGUUGAAAUUAGAGAUGAUGUGACUGAAAAGUUGUGUAUGUAUAACAGGUUGAUAUGAUGGAAAAGGACUGAAGUUUGGAUCCAAACUUUAGAUCUAAACACAGCCUUAUUUAACAAACACAUGCUCUGUUGUUGGACUAUAGAUACAUUCCUAGCCUCAUUGAAAACGCACCUACGUAUACUUAACAUUUAGGAGUAUCGGGAUUUGAGUUUUUUUUAUACUCCCUCUGGGUUGAUAAUACUUGUCGUUUUGGAUAAGGGCACGGUCUCCAAAAAACAACUUUAACUAUUAUUUUCUAUUAUAAUAUGUAUAAAAGUGUUAACAAAUAUAUGAUUUUAUUAAAGUACUUUUUAAGACUAAUCUAUAUAUAUGUAGUCACCAUAUUUAAAAGACAAAUAUUUUAAAAAUGAUUCAUAAUCAAAGACUCUAAAGUUUGACCUCACCCUUGCCUAAAACGACAAGUAUUAUCAGCCCGGAGGGAGUAUCAUGGUUUACUCGUAGUAAUUAUUUUCUGAUUUUUUUAGUAAUUUUAGAUCUUAGGCAUCGUAAUUUGAAUCCUUUAGAGGGUGGGCAUCAUAAUUUAAAUUUCUUAGAUUAUAUACUUUUCUAAUUUAUUAUUAAUUAUUUUCAAACCUUCUAGAUGGUGGUUUCACCCACAUUUCAAUUUUUUUUUAAAUCAUCGGAGGGGAGAGUCGUGUUCCCACCUGAUUUUUCCAUGGCAAAGAGAGUUUCCCCACGUUUCAGCUUUUAAUGCGUGGAUUUUAGGGACCGAUCACUUUGAUGAAAAAAAAACAUACCAAAUUAUGGCAAUGCCAAAAUUUUGGCAUAGUUGUCAAAAUUUUGGUGACAUGACAAAAUUUUGGCAGAAUUUCUUAUAUAGUUACCAAAAUUUGACAGCAAACUAAUGUAUCUAAUUUUUUUUUUGACAACUUUAUUAAAACUUGGUAAAGUUAAAAAUGGUAUCUAAGUAAAAAAAAGCCCUUAAUUCAGUAACCAUAGCAGCAGGACAGAAAGCUGUCAAGGCAUCCAUUGGUACAUAAUUUUCUUGCAACACAGUUACUAGGAGUACAUAACAGUGCUGAAACUGCACCACAGGCGAUAAAGCAAUGACAUUCUUCGGUAUCGCCUUCACUCGUCCUAAUUGUUUUUUUUUUUCGAACGAAACGAUUUUCAU